GUGCACCAGGCGCGAAACCUUCACAAUGGGCGAAAGCCUGAUGAGGCUAUUUCAAGUGCCACCCGCUAAGGGUGGCUUUUCCCAAGUCUAAACAGCUUGGGGAAUAAGGGGAGGGCAAGUCUGGUGUCAGCCGCCGCGGUAAUACCAGCUCCUCGAGUGGUCGGGACGAUUAUUGGGCCUAAAGCAUCCGUAGCCGGUUCUGUAGGUCUCCUGUCAAAUUCAACGGCUCAACCGUUGAGCUGCAGGAGAUACCGCAGGGCUAGGAGGCGGAAGAGGUGGACGGUACUCUAUGGGUAGGGGUAAAAUCUUCUGAUCCAUGGAAGACCACCAGUGGCGAAGGCGGUCCACCAGAACGCGCUCGACGGUGAGGGAUGAAAGCUGGGGGAGCGAACCGGAUUAGAUACCCGGGUAGUCC
RNAcentral lists this ribosomal RNA (415 nucleotides) under uncultured crenarchaeote. RNAcentral describes it as "partial 16S ribosomal RNA". It matches the Rfam family "Archaeal small subunit ribosomal RNA", at positions 330 to 747 of the family's 1478-position model. The record is from RNAcentral. Lineage: Archaea; Thermoproteati; Thermoproteota.